This 1242-nucleotide ribosomal RNA is filed under the name metagenome. Its description in RNAcentral is "bacterial LSU rRNA". It matches the Rfam family "Bacterial large subunit ribosomal RNA", at positions 1564 to 2816 of the family's 2925-position model. The record is from RNAcentral.
UGAAUACGAGACGCUAAGGCGUCGAAGUAGUGUAUGUCAUACUUCCAAGAAAAGCUUGCACUGUCAUAGAUAAAAAACGCCUGUACCAUAACCGACACAGGUGGGUAGGUAGAGUAUACUAAGGGGCGCGAGAUAACUCUCUCUAAGGAACUCGGCAAAAUAACUCCGUAACUUCGGGAGAAGGAGUGCCUUAUUCUUAAGGUUGCAAUAACAAGAUCCAAGCAACUGUUUAUCAAAAACACAGGUCUCCGCUAAGUCGUAAGACGAUGUAUGGGGGCUGACGCCUGCCCAGUGCCAGAAGGUUAAAGAAGCUGGUUAGCAUUUGCGAAGCUAGUAACUGAAGCCCUGGUGAACGGCGGCCGUAACUAUAACGGUCCUAAGGUAGCGAAAUUCCUUGUCGGGUAAGUUCCGACCCGCACGAAAGGCGUAAUGAUUUGGAUACUGUCUCGGAGAGGGGCUCGGUGAAAUAGACUUGUCUGUGAAGAUGCGGACUACCUGCACCAGGACAGAAAGACCCUAUGAAGCUUUACUGUAACUUGAAAUUGAAAUUGGACUUUAUUCGCGCAGUAUAGGUGGGAGGCGUUGAUUAUAAUCUUGCGGGAUUAUUGGAGCCAUUAGUGAGAUACCACUCUUGUAAUGUUAGAUUUCUAACUUUGAAUCAUUAUCUGGUCAAAGAACAGUUUCAGGCGGGCAGUUUGACUGGGGCGGUCGCCUCCUAAACGGUAACGGAGGCGUACAAAGGUUUCCUCUGAACGGUUAGAAAUCGUAUCUAGAGUGUAAAGGCAUAAGGAAGCUUGACUGUGAGACCUACAAGUCGAGCAGGGACGAAAGUCGGUCUUAGUGAUCUGACGGUACUGAGUGGAAAGGCCGUCACUCAACGGAUAAAAGUUACUCUAGGAUAACAGGCUGAUCUCCCCCAAGAGUUCACAUCGACGGGGAGGUUUGGCACCUCGAUGUCGGCUCAUCGCAUCCUGGGGCGGUAGUACGUCCCAAGGGUUGGGCUGUUCGCCCAUGAAAGCGGUACGCGAGCUGGGUUCAGAACGUCGUGAGACAGUUCGGUCCAUAUCCGGUGUAGGCGUUAGAAUAUUGAGAGGAGCCUUCUUUAGUACGAGAGGACCGAGAAGGACAUACCUCUGGUGUACCAGUUAUCGUGCCAACGGUAAACGCUGGGUAGCUAUGUAUGGAGUGGAUAACCGCUGAAAGCAUCUAAGUGGGAAGCCCACCUCAAGAUAAGUAUUCUCC